CACGGAGUUAGCCGGUGCUUAUUCUGCAGGUACCGUCAUCACACUACACGUAGUGUUUAUUCUUCCCUGUCAAAAGCAGUUUACGACUCAGAAAGCCUUCUUCCUGCACGCGGCAUGGCUGGGUCAGGCUCUCGCCCAUUGCCCAAUAUUCCCUACUGCUGCCUCCCGUAGGAGUCGGGCCCGUAUCUCAGUGCCCGUGUGGGGGACCAGCCUCUCAGCUCCCCUAGUCAUCGUCGCCUUGGUAAGCCGUUACCUUACCAACUAGCUAAUGACCCGCAACCCCAUCUAUAACCAAUAAAUCUUUACUAAUCAAAUGAUGCCAUUUAACUAGCUUAUGCGGUAUUAAUCCGCCUUUCGGCGGGCUAUCCCCCAGUUAUAGGUAGGUUAGUUACGUGUUACGCACCCGUGCGCCACUAUGGUAUUGCUACCACCGUUCGACUUGCAUGUAUUAGGCCUGCCGCUAGCGUUCAUCCUGAGCCAGGAUCAAACUCU
RNAcentral lists this ribosomal RNA (492 nucleotides) under uncultured Hymenobacter sp. RNAcentral's name for it is "partial 16S ribosomal RNA". Lineage: Bacteria; Pseudomonadati; Bacteroidota; Cytophagia; Cytophagales; Hymenobacteraceae. The record is from RNAcentral.